GUAAUGUACUUUCCCUUCGGGGCAGGAGUGACAGGUGGUGCAUGGUUGUCGUCAGCUCGUGUCGUGAGAUGUUGGGUUAAGUCCCGCAACGAGCGCAACCCCUGUCCUUAGUAGCCAGCAGUAAGAUGGGCACUCUAGGGAGACUGCCAGGGAUAACCUGGAGGAAGGCGGGGAUGACGUCAAAUCAUCAUGCCCCUUAUGACUUGGGCUACACACGUGCUACAAUGGCGUAAACAAAGGGAAGCAAUCCCGUGAGGGGGAGCAAAUCCCAAAAAUAACGUCUCAGUUCGGACUGUAGUCUGCAACCCGACUACACGAAGCUGGAAUCGCUAGUAAUCGCGAAUCAGAAUGUCGCGGUGAAUACGUUCCCGGGUCUUGUACACACCGAA
This 389-nucleotide ribosomal RNA is filed under the name uncultured bacterium. Its description in RNAcentral is "bacterial SSU rRNA". It matches the Rfam family "Bacterial small subunit ribosomal RNA", at positions 1003 to 1394 of the family's 1533-position model. The record is from RNAcentral.